GGGUGGAGCUUCAUAUAUAAAGACUGAAGUCAGCAGGAAGGGAACGGCACAACUCCAGAUCAGUUGAAGUGUGAGACUUUAAGGUAUCUUCACCUCUAUUGAAGCCGAUGAGCAGGAACUAUGUCAGCACCUAAGAAAGCACAAUCCAACCAGGGUCUGGAGAGAUCAAUGACUUGUCCAAAUUGUAGACAGAUGUUUUUGACUUUUGUCAACUUUGAACUGAAGAAGGAUGGCAGGUUAGAUUUCCAAAUGGAAGUAUUUGUAGCUAACAAUGUGGAAUCAGCCCUUGUCAGUCAGAGCUUUACCUAUAAACAACAGGUGAGGCAGAGCUUUACCUAUAAACAACAGGUGAGGCAGAGCUUUACCUAUAAACAACAGGACGAUGUGAAACAAACGAGCAGAGUGGAGUGUCCAUAUUGUGUAAAGAUGUUUGAGCUGAUCAUUCACCUUACUAAGACUAUUAAAGAGAGCCAAUUAAAUCUUAAACUGUCCAUCACAACUUGUGCGGUCUGUGUGCCGGGUGAAAAAAAGGAAAAGGAAGAAACACCAAGAGGACAAAAAGGCCCAUCAGAAAAAACAGGCUUAGGCUCACCUGUACUACGCAGAGUGAAGGUUUUCUAUAUGUGCUCUGGUGAGACAUUUCGUGGUGAUGAUCAAGUGAAGGAACAAUUGAUGAUGGACAAACGGCGGACACUUGAUGUCCAGGAGACAAAGCUGAAAGAUUCUGACAUUGUCGUUGUCUUCUGAUCAAUCACAUCCCGCGUUGGACUAGUGAAAUUCUCAAAGCGUAAAAAAGAAUUAAGUAUUGAACUGCCUAAGGUUUAGAGAUCGGGAACAGAAGUACAAAAUGUAUGUGCAGAAAUUCAAUUUCUGCACAUACAAAAGUCUCUAUUCUUGAAAUAAAUAUCUAUACCAACAGGUCAGGCUGGAAAAAGUAUGAUGUAAUCUUUGUAUUAUUACACAACUAGGUUUAAAAUCAAAAUUAUACACUUUCGUUUUACAAAACCUGUCUUAAUUGUUUCUCUGUUUUUUUGUAGGACAAAAAGGCCCAUCAGAAAAAACAGGUACCGGUACAUGCCUUAAAACAGAACUGACCAGUGGACAGUUAUAUCCCUGGUUAUAUCACACUGAGGUCACACAUAGUUUUGGAAUUUAUUUGAGUCCUGAUCUAAUAGACAAAUAAUAAAAGGCGUCUUCAUUAGAGCCUGUAUGUGAGGAUUUAAUCACACCAUCAUUUUUGUCAGAAGCCAUUCUAAUUAAAGUCAGGAAUAGGUCUAUUUAAAGUCACAAAGGUAUAUUACAAAUAUUCUGUAGAAGCAAACAAAUAUUUGUAUAUCUAACAAAUAAAUAUUUGGUAGAAAAUAUGGAAAAUUACAUUUAUAAAGUUAAUAUAAUUGAGUCAUUUUUUCCUAUUUACAUAUUUCCGAUUUUAUUUUAUUCCAUCUGUCAUGGGACUGGUUUUUUUUUCACAAAAGUUUGCAGUGCCUUCCUCACCUAAUAUUGCAGGUGGUAAACAUCUCUAAAAAUACUAAUAAUUUUUUUUUUUUCGCACACAACUGUUCAUCUUGGAUCCAUUUUCAGAUUUGACAAUAAUUCUUAAAAAACAUGGAGAAUAAGAUAUAAUUCUUUAGGGCUUCUAGAAAAACCUGAUUUAUGCCUAGACCCAGAUCACUAGAUAACUUCAAGAUCACUAUUUUGCCGAAAGAGUCUUUAAAUAUGGUGCGGGAACUUCAACCUUUUGACUGUCAAACAACAACUGGUAAAACUGGUGACUGCUUGUUUUUUCAGGCUUAGGCUCACCUGUACUACGCAGAGUGAAGGUUUUCUAUAUGAUGAUCAAGUGAAGGAACAAUUGAUGAUGGACAAACGGCGGACACUUGAUGUCCAGGAGACAAAGCUGAAAGAUUCUGACAUUGUCGUUGUCUUCUGUCCAAUCACAUCCCGCGUUGGACUAGUGAAAUUCUCAAAGCGUAAAAAAGAAUUAAGUAUUGAACUGCCUAAGGUUUAGACAUCAGGAACAGAAGUACAAAAUGUAUGUGCAGAAAUUCAAUUUCUGCACAUACAAAAGUCUCUAUUCUUGAAAUAAAUAUCUAUACCAACAGGUCAGGCUGGAAAAAGUAUGAUGUAAUCUUUGUAUUAUUACACAACUAGGUUUAAAAUCAAAAUUAUACACUUUCGUUUUACAAAACCUGUCUUAAUUGUUUCUCUGUUUUUUUGUAGGACAAAAAGGCCCAUCAGAAAAAACAGGUACCGGUACAUGCCUUAAAACAGAACUGACCAGUGGACAGUUAUAUCCCUGGUUAUAUCACACUGAGGUCACACAUAGUUUUGGAAUUUAUUUGAGUCCUGAUCUAAUAGACAAAUAUUAAAAGGCGUCUUCAUUAGAGCCUGUAUGUGAGGAUUUAAACACGCCAUCAUUUUUGUCAGAAGCCAUUCUAAUUAAAGGUCUAUAUACAGUCACAAAGGUAUAUUACAAAUGUUCUGUAGAAGCAAACAAAUAUUUGCCUCUAACAAAUAAAUAUUUGGUAGAAAAUGUGGAACAUUACAAAUUACAUUUAUCAAGUUAAUAUAAUGGAGUCAUUUUUUUUAAAUUGACAUAUUUCUGAUUUUAUUUUACUCAAUCUGUCAUGGGACAUUUUUUUCCACAAAAGUUUGCAGUGCCUUCCACACCUAAUAUUACAGCUAGUAAACAUCUCUAAAAAUACCAAUGAAUAUUUUUUUAUUUUUUUGCACACAACUGGUUUUCUUAGAUCCAUCUUCAGAUUUGACAAUAAUUCUUAAAAAUCAUGGAGAAUAAGAUAUAAUUCUUUAGUGCUUCUAGAAAAACCUGAUUCAUGCCUAGACCCAGAUCACUAGAUAACUUCAAGAUCACUAUUUUGCCGAAAGAGUCUUUAAAUAUGGUGCGGGAACUUCAACCUUUUGACUGUCAAACAACAACUGGUAUAACUGGUGACUGCUUCUUUCUUCAGGCUUAGGCUUACCUGUACUACACAGAGUGAAGGUUUUCUAUAUGUGCUCUGGUGAGACAUUUCGUGGUGAUGUUCAAGUGAAGGAACAAUUGAUGAUGGACAAACGGCGGACACUUCAUGUCCAGGAGACAAACCUGAAAGAUUCUGACAUUGUCAUUGUCUUCUGUCCAAUCACAUCCCGCGUUGGAUCAGACGUGGAGUCAUCCAUGAGAGAUAAAACAGCGUCAUCAUUGAAGAAACCAAUCAUCUUGGUUCUGAUGCAUCACACCAGAGACUUUGAGUAUUCAACUGCAGGAACAACCUGGUCUGACGUUUAUCCAAAUGUUGUCCUUGAUGUUCAUGUUCUGUUCCAUGAGACUAAACCAGGACUAUUGAAAUGUAGACAAAAUGAGGAGGCUUUUGAGAUGAUUAAAAAAGAGCUAAAUAAACAUUCAAAACCAGUCUUUGGAAUGUUAGCACACCAUCAGACUCGUUGAGAAUGUUACGAAACAUUAAAUAUCCAGUGAGCAGCAGUUAUCUGGGGAGAAAUACUGAAUAAUCAGAAGGAGAAUGAAUAGACUGGUUCAAAAUUAUAGAAAUUAAGCAGUAGCUAAAAACCCACUUAUUAAAACCCAAAUAUGUCUAACAUACCGUUUCUGAACACAAUAUGUUUAAUCAUAAAGCAAAUGGACUAUAUUGACAGAAGAGAAAACUCCUACCAGCCCAGAACAGGAAGCAUCAACAGAGCAUCGUUUAAACACCACAGCCUAACUAAGUAUGAUUCCUGACCAUGUCCAUCCCUUUAUGAUCACCGUUUACCCAUACUCUGAACGCUACUUCCAAAAGUGUAACGACAUUACGUUACAAAUGUAAAAUAAUUGUAAUCUGACAACUGACACUUCAACAUGACAAGUUCACUCAGCUCUAAAGAUCUCAGUCCAGGUGCUUUGGGAUGUAGUGAAAUUAGAGACUCAUGUCAUUGUUAUUGUAAGGCUGAAAUGAUUAAUCAAAUUAAUCAUAAUGGAUCAAAAGCUGUUCAUUACGCUUAAUGAAUUAAUUUAAUAAUUAAUUAAUUGAAGUACGGAGUAUAGAUACCCUUAAAAACGUAAUAUGCUGAAAGAACAACACCCUCUGCUGUAGUUCAGCCAAAACUGUACAAAAAAUAUAAACAUUUACAUUUAAGAUAAAAAAAACAACUUUAUCUGUAAACACAUUCCACCCAGAACUCCUCAAGUUGCAGCUUUAGCUUAAUUGGUUCCAAAUCUGUAAAAAACAACCUAUUAAGCACUUUUUGCUAUCCAGUUAAUAACCAUUUCAAUUGUUAUUUUAUUUCAAACAGGAAUUGAAUUGUUCAUUUGCAUCUUUUGAUAUAUUUCUAAUAUUGCAUAAAAAUACUUAAAUAAAUGAAAAAUCUGCAGAAUGUGCUCUUUUUUUCCCGAAUAGUCGAUUCAUAAUCAGAAUUAUCAAUAGAUUAAUCGACUACUAAAAUAGUCGCCCUACAUAAUUGGUUUGCAGCUAAUAAAUCUGCAUCACCUCUUGCUGCUAUCAUAUCAGUAUGGACCAAAAUCCUUUCAUUGUCUAUACCAGCUUAUUCAUUAUCUGGAUCAUAUGGGCAUCGUUAGAUAAGAGGUUAGAUAAGGGUAUUUCCUGGACAGCUCAGCAGUGCUUCACAGGGCAACGCAGAGACACUAAAGACAAACAUCCAUGCAUGCAGGAACUUAGUCCUGCAGAAAAUAAAAUCACUGAUUAACCUAGCACAGGAAGCCGGAGCAGCCAGAGAGAUCUUACACAUGCAGGGGUGAGAACAUGGAGCUGCAUUGUGAAACCUCCUAAAUUUUGUCUCAUUUGUGCAGUUCUGAAAACAAGGUGUCAAUCUGAUACUAUUACUGUGGACCUAAUAAUGUAACCGGUGGGUUUUUAUGCUGUAUAUUCUACUGAAGGAAGAAAAAAGUUUGAAGUGCAUGAAAAUGUUUUGCUUUGCUUUAUGCUUAUAUUUCAGCUUUGCUGAGACAUAUAAGAACGUUAGGAAUUAAGUAUUUGGUCUUUUGUUCUUAUGUUUUUAUUUGAUAUUGUUUUAAUAUUAUCUCAACAAAACCAAUCUGUGACUUUGUAAACAAGUCACAGAUUGAAAAAAAUGCAUGAUUUCUGAUAUUUUUGUCAGGAUAUUUGAUUAUUAUUAUUUUUAGUAAUUGUUAUCUGUGUUCUUAGCUAUUUUUUGUUCUCAUCCAUGUUGCUGUUGAGAUUAUUUUAGUUAGAUUAUCUUUACCGUUUAUUUCUUGCGUUAUUCUUUGUAACAGAUUUCUGUUUUGCCCAUUGUUUUCCUCCUCCAUACUCCUAUGUACCAUCUCUGUUCUCCCUCCCUCUCACCAUCUCACCUGGUUUUUGUCAAUAAUCAAGAGCUUCUGUUUAUAAGCUCUACUCCUGACAGUAUAUGAGCCGAAUAAUCUGUGAAAAAAACUGAGCUUCCCUGCACUCCAAAAGACCUCUGCCUCCUUGGCGGGUAGAUUAUGACUGACGGUGCGUUUCUGUAGACGGCAAUAGUAGCACUGGGAGAAGGUGGAAAAUCUUGCUCUGGUUUAAUUUUUGUUUGUUUUUUUUCCCCACAGAUUAUCUCUCCCACUGUACUGUCACAACAUAGUGACAGUUUUUAACACAUGUCUAAAUAAGUAAAUAAAUGUAGUGAACUAUCAGAACUUAAACAGUGUUUAGACAACUCUUGUUGAUGGACAGUGCUAAGAUGUUCAAUCAACCUAAUGAACUUUAGUUUCUGAGUUAGAACAAAAACAAUUUUGUUGUUUCCCUUGCAUUUCCAAGGCAGCAGGUGAAUUUUUGGUUUCUUUAACGCCUUCAAAUGUUUAACAGUUGCCGUGUGCUUGUUCUGAUUUUGCUGUAAAACGUUGGCACCUGUCAGUGUUCAAUGUUUCUUCAUCAUUAAAUGUUGUAUUUUCUGUUAUUAGCCUACACUAAACAGAACCUGUCACACAAAGGCAUCUCUUCUUUAUUUAUUCUGUAAACUGUUUUCUACUUAUUGAUUAUUACAUUUUGUAAUUUAACAAAGAAGCUGCAGUAAAUCAGCUUUGAAUCAGCUACAGUGAACUCACCCCCAGCGUAGUCCCCUUCAUGGUUCAUCCAGAGCUGCACAGAGGCAUGAAUUAUUUUGCAAAGACAAUUGAAAGUCAUUAGAAACAUUACUCAUUUCCAGAAGUAUUUUCUUCUGUAAAAACAAACAUAAAAUCUGUUAAAAAUUUAUUAAAACUGCUCCUGAAACACAGUCAGUAUUUAAGAUGCCAGAAACAAGUUAAAAUAUGACAGCAUUAAGUUUAUUAGCUGUUUAGUUUCAGUUUAUCCAAACUAACGAGAAAACAUUUGAAAAGUCCUUUUUUUAUCCUGGACAAUAGCUGGGGGUGAAACCGGGGGGAGGUUUCUUCAUGUUCCUCAACAAAUAAAAUGAGCUAAACAGAGAAUAAUGGGUGGCAAAACAAUCUGUUAUUCAAAUUAUUCUCCACUCAGAGAUAUUUAGAACACAUAACAUACUCUGAGUUCAGAGUUCAAAGUGGUAUCAUAUUUUCACCAUAUAGAGGAUAAAGUCCUCAACACAGAAGUCCUUGGUUCCAAUUACUGUAAGUCUUCUCCAUUGUUCACUUUACUUUUUCCUUUCAAGCUAUUAAUGAAUAAAUGUCAUAAAUGUCAUAAAAUCCUUAAAAAAAUCUUAACAGAUUAAAGAAGACCAUCAUUUUACUAAAUAAAAGCAGUCAGUUAAGCAGCACAUUCAUGUUUUCCUUUCUUGACACAAAAUAUUCCUGAAAUGUAUAACUAAAUAUUUUUGAAAAUAAAAAAAAUUGACACAACCA
Xiphophorus hellerii (green swordtail) is the source of this 6799-nucleotide long non-coding RNA. RefSeq lists it as uncharacterized. The transcript is spliced from 8 exons. Lineage: Eukaryota; Metazoa; Chordata; Actinopteri; Cyprinodontiformes; Poeciliidae. The record is from RefSeq and is a predicted model, not a curated record.